RNAcentral lists this ribosomal RNA (407 nucleotides) under uncultured bacterium. RNAcentral's name for it is "partial 16S ribosomal RNA". It matches the Rfam family "Bacterial small subunit ribosomal RNA", at positions 360 to 774 of the family's 1533-position model. The record is from RNAcentral.
AAUAUUUCGCAAGGGGGGAAACUCUGACGCAGCGACGCCGCGUGAGCGACGAAGGUCUUCGGAUCGGAAAGCUCUGUCCUUGGGGAAGAAGAACGAAAGAUUUGACGGUACCCGAGGAGGAAGCCCCGGCUAACUACGUGCCAGCAGCCGCGGUAAUACGUAGGGGGCAAGCGUUGUCCGGAAUUAUUGGGCGUAAAGGGUGCGUAGGCGGCCUUUUAAGUCAGGUGUGAAAGCCCACGGCUUAACCGUGGGAUUGCAUUUGAAACUGGAAGGCUUGAGUAUCGGAGAGGGUAGUGGAAUUCCCAGUGUAGCGGUGGAAUGCGUAGAUAUUGGGAGGAACACCAGUGGCGAAGGCGACUACCUGGACGAAAACUGACGCUGAGGCACGAAAGCGUGGGGAGCAAACA